CGGUUGAUCCUGCCGACGAAUUUUGCUUAGACCAAAGAUUAACACAUGCAUGUCUAUAUAACCCGCUUGUCGGGGAAAUGGCGAACGGCUCAUUAAAGAGGUUCUAACCUGCUCCGCGAUCUUUUAAAUGGAUAACUCUGGUAACUCAAGAGCUAAUACACGCACCAAUGCUUAUUAAGCAGUGCUUAUGACUCUAAACCAACAUCCUUUUGAUUGAACAUAAUGCACAGAGGCCGCAAGGCCCGCGCGGAAUGGAGUUCCUAUCUAUCAGCUCGUUGUAAGGGUAUUGUCCUUACAAGGCUUUGACGGAUAACGAGGUUUCGGGGAACGACUUCGGAGAGAAGGCAUGAGAUUCGGCCUUCAUAUCUAAGGAAAGCAGCAGUGGCGUAAAUUACCCAAUGUACAUUUGUACGAGGUAGUGACAGUCAAUAUUGUAAGCCUCACCUUUGUGGUGCGGCUUAUUUGAAAUGGACGGGGUUUAAAUCACCCCGUGAGGAUCAAUUGGAGGGCAAGUCUGGUGCCAGCAGCCGCGGUAAUUCCAGCUCCAAGAGCAAAAUUUGAUUCUGCUGAAGUUAAAAAGCUCGUAGUUGAAAUUUAAUUCCCCAGUCGUCCUGCGAGGUCGAAAGACCACACGUUUCGACUGGAGAAUUUUUGCAUGGGACUGUUUGCGUUUUAAUUAACGCUCUCAUGAUCAUGCCUGUUACUGUGAGGAAAUCCGAACGCUCAAAGCAGCCUAUUGGUUGAAGAGGUCAGCACGGAAUGAUGAGAUACGACAUGAUUUAUUUUGUUGGUUCUUAAGUUGUGUAAUGAUUGCAGGAACAGUUGGGGGUAUUCAUAUUGGAGAGCUAGAGGUGAAAUUCUAGGAUUUCUUCAAGAUGAACGACUGCGAAAGCAUUUACCAAGGAUGUUUUCAAUAAUCAAGAACGAAAGUUGGGGGAUCGAAGAUGAUUAGAUACCAUCGUAGUCUCAACCAUAAACGAUGCCGACUAGCAAUUGUCAAGCCUUUUUUUGGUUUGGCAGCGGCUCAGAGAAAUUAAAGUUUUUGGGUUCUUGGGGGAGUAUGGUCGCAAGACUGAAACUUAAAGGAAUUGACGGAAGGGCACACCAGAAGUGGAACUUGCGGCUUAAUUUGACCCAACACGGGAAAACUUACCAGGGCCGGACUUUUAUAGGAUUGACAGAUUGAAAGCUCUUUCAUGAUCAAAAGGGUGGUGGUGCAUGGCCGUUCGUAGUUGGUGGAGUGAUUUGUCUGGUUAAUUCCGUUAACGAACGAGACCGACGUCGCAUAAUGGGUUUUGCUAUUUCACGAUAGCGUUAAACCUUCUUUGCGAGACAAGUUUGUUUUACAAGCGGAAGCAGUCGGCAAUAACAGGUCUGUGAUGCCCUUAGAUGUUCUGGGCCGCACGCGAGUUACAUUGAAAGCAUCAAUUGGUCUUGCUUGGCCGAAAGGUCAUGGCGAAUCCUAAAUCGCUUUCGUAUUGGGGCUUGAUUUUUGCAAUUAUGAAUCACCAACGAGGAAUUUCUUGUAAAGGCAGUUCAUCAGACUGUCUUGACUACGUCCCUGCCCUUUGUACACACCGCCCGUCGCACC
RNAcentral lists this ribosomal RNA (1591 nucleotides) under metagenome. RNAcentral's name for it is "SSU rRNA". It matches the Rfam family "Eukaryotic small subunit ribosomal RNA". The record is from RNAcentral.